This 253-nucleotide ribosomal RNA is filed under the name uncultured bacterium. Its description in RNAcentral is "partial 16S ribosomal RNA". It matches the Rfam family "Bacterial small subunit ribosomal RNA", at positions 524 to 776 of the family's 1533-position model. The record is from RNAcentral.
UACGGAGGGUGCAAGCGUUAUCCGGAAUCACUGGGUUUAAAGGGUGCGUAGGCGGCUGUAUAAGUCAGGGGUGAAAGGCUACAGCUUAACUGUGGAAUUGCCUUUGAUACUGUAUAGCUUGAAUAAGGAUGAGGUUGGCGGAAUGUGGCAUGUAGCGGUGAAAUGCAUAGAUAUGCCAUAGAACACCAAUUGCGAAGGCAGCUAACUGGACCUUUAUUGACGCUGAGGCACGAAAGCGUGGGGAUCAAACAGG